CCUACGGGGGGCAGCAGUGGGGAAUAUUGCACAAUGGGCGCAAGCCUGAUGCAGCCAUGCCGCGUGUGUGAAGAAGGCCUUCGGGUUGUAAAGCACUUUCAGCGGGGAGGAAGGCGUUAAGGUUAAUAACCUUGUCGAUUGACGUUACCCGCAGAAGAAGCACCGGCUAACUCCGUGCCAGCAGCCGCGGUAAUACGGAGGGUGCAAGCGUUAAUCGGAAUUACUGGGCGUAAAGCGCACGCAGGCGGUCUGUCAAGUCGGAUGUGAAAUCCCCGGGCUCAACCUGGGAACUGCAUUCGAAACUGGCAGGCUAGAGUCUUGUAGAGGGGGGUAGAAUUCCAGGUGUAGCGGGGAAAAGGGUAGGAAUCUGGAGGAAUACCGGUGGCGAAGGCGGCCCCCUGGACAAAGACUGACGCUCAGGUGCGAAAGCGUGGGGAGCAAACAGGAUUAGAUACCCGAGUAGUC
RNAcentral lists this ribosomal RNA (465 nucleotides) under uncultured Klebsiella sp. RNAcentral describes it as "bacterial SSU rRNA". It matches the Rfam family "Bacterial small subunit ribosomal RNA", at positions 338 to 795 of the family's 1533-position model. The record is from RNAcentral. Lineage: Bacteria; Pseudomonadati; Pseudomonadota; Gammaproteobacteria; Enterobacterales; Enterobacteriaceae.